UUGAUACUGUAGAGCUAGGAUUAGGUUGCUGUGGGCGGAAUGUGUGGUGUAGCGGUGAAAUGCUUAAAGAUCACACAGAAUAUCGAUUGCGAAGGCAGCUCACAAAGCCUAAAUUGACGCUGAGGCACGAAAGUGUGGGGAUCGAACAGGAUUAGAUACCCUGGUAGUCCGCACUGUAAACGAUGAUAACUCGCUGUCGGCGAUAUACAGUCGGUGGCCAAGCGAAAGCGAUAAGUUAUCCACCUGGGGAGUACGACCGCAAGGUUGAAACUCAAAGGAAUUGACGGGGGCCCGCACAAGCGGAGGAACAUGUGGUUUAAUUCUAUGAUACGCGAGGAACCUUACCCGGGCUCGAACGGUGCAUGAAUGUCAUAGAGAUUUGACAGUCCUUCCGGGACAUGUAUCGAGGUGCUGCAUGGUUGUCGUCAGCUCGUGCCGUGAGGUGUCGGCUUAAUGUGCCAUAACGAGCGCAAU
Molecule: ribosomal RNA, 474 nt
Filed under: uncultured bacterium
Lineage: Bacteria
Description: bacterial SSU rRNA
Rfam family: Bacterial small subunit ribosomal RNA
Source: RNAcentral